AGAGUUUGAUCCUGGCUCAGAACGAACGCUGGCGGCAGGCUUAACACAUGCAAGUCGAACGCACCUUCGGGUGAGUGGCAGACGGGUGAGUAACGCGUGGGAACGUGCCCUUCAGUUCGGAAUAACCCAGGGAAACUUGGGCUAAUACCGGAUACGUGCGAGAGCAGAAAGAUUUAUCGCUGAAGGAUCGGCCCGCGUCUGAUUAGCUAGUUGGUGGGGUAAUGGCCCACCAAGGCGACGAUCAGUAGCUGGUCUGAGAGGAUGAUCAGCCACAUUGGGACUGAGACACGGCCCAAACUCCUACGGGAGGCAGCAGCGGGGAAUAUUGGACAAUGGGCGCAAGCCUGAUCCAGCCAUGCCGCGUGAGUGAUGAAGGCCUUAGGGUUGUAAAGCUCUUUCGGCGGGGACGAUAAUGACGGUACCCGCAGAAGAAGCCCCGGCUAACUUCGUGCCAGCAGCCGCGGUAAUACGAAGGGGGCUAGCGUUGUUCGGAAUCACUGGGCGUAAAGGGCGCGUAGGCGGCUUGAUAAGUCGGGGGUGAAAGCCUGUGGCUCAACCACAGAAUUGCCUUCGAUACUGUCUGGCUUGAGACCGGAAGAGGUAAGUGGAACUGCGAGUGUAGAGGUGAAAUUCGUAGAUAUUCGCAAGAACACCAGUGGCGAAGGCGGCUUACUGGUCCGGUUCUGACGCUGAGGCGCGAAAGCGUGGGGAGCAAACAGGAUUAGAUACCCUAGUAGUCC
RNAcentral lists this ribosomal RNA (740 nucleotides) under uncultured bacterium. Its description in RNAcentral is "bacterial SSU rRNA". It matches the Rfam family "Bacterial small subunit ribosomal RNA", at positions 8 to 796 of the family's 1533-position model. The record is from RNAcentral.